GACGAACGCUGGCGGCGUGCUUAACACAUGCAAGUCGAACGGAAAGGCCCUGCUUUUGUGGGGUGCUCGAGUGGCGAACGGGUGAGUAACACGUGAGUAACCUGCCCUUGACUUUGGGAUAACUUCUGGAAACUCGGGCUCAUACCGGAUAGGAUCUCCUGCUGCAUGGUGGGGGUUGGAAAGUUUCGGCGGUUGGGGCUGGACUCGCGGCUUAUCAGCUUGUUGGUGGGGUAGUUGCUUACCAAGGCUUUGACGGGUAGCCGGCCUGAGAGGGUGACCGGCGACAUUGGGACUGAGAUACGGCCCAGACGCCUACGGGAGGCAGCAGUGGAGAAUAUUGCACAAUGGGCGGAAGCCUGAUGCAGCAACGCCGCGUGCGGGAUAACGGCCUACGGGUUGUAAACCGCUGUCGCCUGUGACGAAGCGUGAGUGACGGUAAUGGGUAAAGAAGCACCGGCUAACUACGUG
This 468-nucleotide ribosomal RNA is filed under the name uncultured bacterium. RNAcentral's name for it is "partial 16S ribosomal RNA". It matches the Rfam family "Bacterial small subunit ribosomal RNA", at positions 28 to 507 of the family's 1533-position model. The record is from RNAcentral.